AAGUCGUAACAAGGUAACCGUAGGUGAACCUGCGGUUGGAUCAUUAGUGGUUUUUACGUAGCGCUGUUGUAGUGUUUCUGGGGGGUUUUCUUUGGUUUUGUGUGUUUGUCUUUCUUUCUUUGUUUGUCUGUUUUUGUGCAUUGCCUUGUGCUGCCUUGUGCGGUGUCUUGUGCGGUGCCGUGGCAGUACAAACGGAUCGACGGCAACACUCGGACCAGACCCAAGAACCCUUGCAGACAAUAGACGUCUUUGCUUGCUUUGAUGAAACCAAAUCAAAAACAACUUUUGACAACGGAUCUCUUGGCUCUC
RNAcentral lists this unclassified non-coding RNA (309 nucleotides) under fungal sp. Its description in RNAcentral is "partial internal transcribed spacer region". The stretch from base 1 to 46 matches the Rfam family "Eukaryotic small subunit ribosomal RNA", at positions 1786 to 1831 of the family's 1831-position model. The record is from RNAcentral. Lineage: Eukaryota; Fungi.